UGCCCUGAUGAUGGAUUAAAACUGUUCUAAGAUGCUCCAUGCGGAAAACUUUUGGAGACCUGAACUGAAGGGAC
Small nucleolar RNA from Rosa rugosa (rugosa rose), 74 nucleotides. RefSeq annotates it as small nucleolar RNA Z159/U59. The transcript has a single exon. Lineage: Eukaryota; Viridiplantae; Streptophyta; Magnoliopsida; Rosales; Rosaceae. The record is from RefSeq and is a predicted model, not a curated record.